This 30-nucleotide non-coding RNA is filed under the name Homo sapiens (human). Lineage: Eukaryota; Metazoa; Chordata; Mammalia; Primates; Hominidae. The record is from RNAcentral.
UGGAUCUGUCCAAUGGAGUUUGCUGGGUGG